AAUAACAAAUAAAAUAAAAUAAAAAGAUAACCAAGUUGGGCCAAGGCCCAAGUGUAAAGGGGGCGAAAUAUUUAGCAGAAAUAGGGGUGCAAAAGAGAUCUUUUGAUUGGUUGCCAAAAUGGUUUGAGCCCAAAAAGAAGGGAGCUGCGGAUGGAAGCAAAGGGUUUUUGUUUAUUUAUUUUUUUUUAAGAGAGCUGGAUCAGAAAUUUGGCCCAAGGGCUUUUCGUUCGCAGAUCAGGAAACCCUUAGGGGGGUUCAUCCAUUCCUCACUUCAUUCUAUCAUCCAAGAAUUUUGCACACAAAAACCUAGCCCCCCAUAUCCUCUGAACGAAAAAGAAACCAGAAGCCACUCCCACAGCCUAUGCUUUGUCUCAAACGGCCACCGCAAAGAGGCCCUCCACCUGGUCCGUGACGUCACCGGCGAUUCCUCCCCGAAGCCACCACCGGCGACAGCGCUCCCCCUCUCCUCCCGUGUUCGCGCUAGGCUGGGGUUGGGGUUUCUCCCCUUGACGUUGUUCGCCGCCGUCUCUCUGCCACCGCCGUUGCGAAGCUCCGUUCAAGCCGCCUGCGGCUCCAACUCCGGGACGUCACUCUCACCAUGACCGACGGGACCAAAGACCUCAAUUCACGAGCCAGAACCUCGGCCGGCCACUGCGUCGCCAAUCGGCACCUUACCGCCGGCCACCAAAGCCACUGCAAGUUGAAACGAAAACGCCCUGUUCCGCAGCAUGGCCUCAACAGUAUCACUCUCACCAUAUCCCAACACAGGUUUGAAUUCAGGCUUGGGGAAGAAUCAAUGGAAGUCGCAUGGUACCCGCAGGGCUCGAGACUAGAUUAGGCUAUGGAUUUAAAUAUGGGAAAAGAUUGAGAUUGAAGUUUGAUUAAAGAAUGGUGAGAUGAUGGUCGAAGGAUAGUGUUGAAGAGGAUUUUUGAUCUGUAUUGUUUCCCUUUGCAGGUUUGAGUGAAGAACAACGAUGAUGGUGUGAUGGGCACGGUUUGGUGGUGGUAUUGUUCUGUGUGUGUGUUUAGCAUUGGGUGAGUAACAGUUGUUCUCUGCCUUUUUCCUCUUUGCUUAAGACUCUGUAUGGUGGUUUCUGGGUUCUAUGAGGAUGGUGGUGCUAAGGAAACAGAUUUGCAAUGGCCGAGAGAACGGUAUGGAAUUGGUGGAGAUGGUACCGUAAACAACUCAGGGAGAUUAGCUUCCCUUUCUUUCUUUGCAGCUGAGAAGAAUCAAGGUUUUGGGGAGAAAUGGUUUAGCCAUUUCAGCUUUGGUAAUGGGGACGGGAGAAUGAAGAGAAUGAAAGUUGUUUUGUGCGUUGUAAUGUAUGAAGGUGAGUGGGGGUUGUUUGGCUAUGCGAGAGCUGUUAUGGAGGUUGCUUUUUCUUGCAGAGAAGAGGAAUUGGGGUUUAUGCGUGAGGGGUUUUCAUGGUAUAAGCGAAGAUUGAGGGAGGAUAAUGGGAUUUUUGUAUCUGUUUGCAGGUUUGGGUUAUGCAAGGAGAGUACUGGUUUCUAACCGUUAAAGGGAGCGCGUUUAUGUUGUUAAGAUGAAUGAGUGGUAAACAGUAAGCAAAUCAUGUAUAUCAAGUGUCAAACAGAAUGGAUAGGGGAAGAUGACCAAGGUAUGCAUACAACGAACGCCGAGAAUGUUCAAUGACAACCAUACAUAAGCAGCAAAGUACGAAAGUAUUCAGAACAUUUAACAACCACCAUACAUAAGCGUAUUAUUAAGCCAGAGAGUACAAAGGCAUUUUAACAGAUUGUAAAAGUUUAAUCAUUUACCUUUUGGGCUCCUUUACUAUGAUUGUUAUGAUGAGGACGAAUGAAUGAAGCUGGUGAUGGAGGUCUGAGAGUCAAGAGCCCUCUCCUAAGCUACGAUGGUUCUAUGUUGGCGGUGAGUCUCCCAUGCCCCCUGGCUGUGAUAGUGAGGUGAAUCCCUGUCCCUUGUCUUCUCUAAGGCGUGGUGGGUGAGUUCUUACUCUAUGGCCGUAGUCUUCUCUUUCCCCUAUCUUCCCUUCCUCCCUUCUCUGAGAUUGUAUUUUCUUUUUUUUGAAAUGUUAUUGCCGGAUUUUUUUGGAAAAUUAUGGUGCGAGGGAGUCAUAGAAGUUAUUCUCCCCGGAAUUGAUAUUUGAGAGCCUCUUUCUGUCGAGUCAGUCGAGAGUGAAUAGGAGCUGAGAGUAGUCUUUCCCUUUUCACAUGCCUAGGUCCAGCCCCUGUUACGCUACCAUCCAACCACUAAGGACUGAGAAUCAGAAGCCCCCUAGCAAAACCACUGUCAAACGUCAUUCUUCUUUAAUGUGUAAUUGGUGGCAAAAACCAUGGUGCACAGGUUUUCUUUCCAGAAAACGGAAAGAAGUUGACUUGUGGAGGCGUCUGUUGUUCUGUGUUGCAGGAGGUGUUGCACGAAAGCUUAAUUCAUGUUUGCGCAACUGAGAGUGGAAAGAAAGCAAUAGUCUGCCAUA
Vigna radiata var. radiata (mung bean) is the source of this 2459-nucleotide long non-coding RNA. RefSeq lists it as uncharacterized. The record is from RefSeq and is a predicted model, not a curated record. Lineage: Eukaryota; Viridiplantae; Streptophyta; Magnoliopsida; Fabales; Fabaceae. The transcript has 2 exons.